Molecule: long non-coding RNA, 191 nt
Organism: Bradysia coprophila
Lineage: Eukaryota; Metazoa; Arthropoda; Insecta; Diptera; Sciaridae
Source: RefSeq, a predicted model, not a curated record
UACAGCAACAGCUGUUUUUUGCUCAACAUUUAAAUAAAAGUCGCGCACAUAAAUUCGAAUAUUACCGAAGACCACUUUACGCCACUAAUUCAGGUCCAUUAAAUUUUAUCGCAUUUUUAUUACACACCAUGUGGUUGUUGAAAUAAAGUAAUUUUGUUGAUAAAGAAAACCUACCAAAUAUGACAAGCAAU